RNAcentral lists this small nuclear RNA (19 nucleotides) under Arabidopsis thaliana (thale cress). RNAcentral describes it as "snRNA_06263". The record is from RNAcentral. Lineage: Eukaryota; Viridiplantae; Streptophyta; Magnoliopsida; Brassicales; Brassicaceae.
UGAAGAAUGAUUCAUUGGA